Molecule: small nuclear RNA, 107 nt
Filed under: Vulpes vulpes (red fox)
Lineage: Eukaryota; Metazoa; Chordata; Mammalia; Carnivora; Canidae
Source: RNAcentral
AUGCUCACUUCAGCAGCACAUAUACUAAAAUUGGAAUAUUACAGAGAAGAUUAACAUGGCCCCUGCACAAGGAUGACAUGCAAAUUCAGGAAGUGCUCCAUAUUUUU